UUAAUUGAAGCCAAAUAGAGGCAUAUUACUGUUAAUGAUACCAUUGAAUUCAAUUCCAAUUAAA
Molecule: transfer RNA, 64 nt
Filed under: Nectoporus sanmarkii
Lineage: Eukaryota; Metazoa; Arthropoda; Insecta; Coleoptera; Dytiscidae
Description: tRNA-Asn
Source: RNAcentral